This 1590-nucleotide ribosomal RNA is filed under the name Triticum aestivum (bread wheat). RNAcentral's name for it is "partial small subunit ribosomal RNA". The record is from RNAcentral. Lineage: Eukaryota; Viridiplantae; Streptophyta; Magnoliopsida; Poales; Poaceae.
AUGGCGAUGGAGCCGGCGGUGAAGGUGGCGCUGGGGACGGCGGCGUUCGGCAUCUUCUGGGUGCUGGCGGUGUUCCCGGCGGUGCCCUUCCUGCCCAUCGGCCGCACGGCGGGGUCGCUGCUGGGAGCCAUGCUCAUGGUGCUCCUCAACGUCAUCACCGCCGACGAGGCCUACGCCGCGGUGGACCUGCCCAUCCUCGGCCUGCUAUUCGGCACCAUGGUCGUCAGCGUCUACCUGGAGCGCGCCGACAUGUUCCGCCACCUCGGCCGCGCGCUCUCGUGGCGCAGCCAGGGCGGCAAGGACCUGCUCCUCCGCACCUGCGCCGUCUCCGCGCUCGCGUCGGCGCUCUUCACCAACGACACCUGCUGCGUGGUGCUCACCGAGUUCAUCCUCAAGAUCGCCCGCCAGAACAACCUCCCGCCCAAGCCCUUCCUCCUGGCCCUCGCCUCCUCCGCCAACAUCGGCUCCGCGGCCACCCCCAUCGGCAACCCGCAGAACCUCGUCAUCGCCGUGCAGAGCGGAAUCUCCUUCGGCGACUUCGUCUUCGGCAUCCUGCCGGCCACGCUCGUCGGCGUCGUCGUCAACGCCGCCAUCCUGCUCUGCCUCUACUGGCGGGAGCUGUCCGACGACAAGUGCGUCGACGUGUCCUCCCACCACGACGCGCUCCCCGCCGAGGUCGUCGACGAGGACGACGUCACCUCGCACCGCUUCUCGCCGGCCACCAUGUCGCACCCGCGCCGCGGCCGCCUCCCGGACGGUUCUGUUCUCCCCGACGCGGCCGGCUGCCACGCGCACUGCUCAUGCGACGACCCGGUGAAGCCCGCCUCCGUCAACGGCGACGCCAAGGCGGCGCCCGACGGCGUCGGGAUCCACCAGCGGCGUGGCUCUGCCGCCAGAGUGACGACCAAGGAGGAGGAGGAUGAGUACUGCUGCUUCAACUCGGCGGAGGAGAAGGAGGCGGCCAUGGACGAGGAGUGGAAGAACAGGCUGUGGAAGACGUGCGUGUACGUCAUCACCUUCGGCAUGCUCGUGGCGCUGCUGCUUGGCCUGAACAUGUCCUGGAGCGCCAUUACCGCCGCCCUGGCGCUCAUCGUCCUCGACUUCAAGGACGCCCGCCCCUGCCUCGAGAAGGUCUCCUACCCACUGCUGCUCUUCUUCUGUGGGAUGUUCAUCACCGUGGACGGCUUCAACAAGACCGGCAUUCCCAGCACCUUCUGGGAGUUCAUGGAGCCCUACGCGCGGAUCGACACGCCCACCGGGGUGGUCAUACUCGCCCUGGUCAUCCUGCUCCUCUCCAAUGUCGCGUCGAAUGUCCCGACCGUCCUGCUGCUCGGCGCACGGGUGGCGGCGUCGGCGGCGGCCAUCUCCCCGGCGGCGGAGACCAACGCCUGGCUGAUCCUGGCUUGGGUGAGCACGGUGGCGGGCAACCUGUCCCUUCUGGGGUCGGCAGCGAACCUGAUCGUGUGCGAGCAGGCGCGCCGGUCCCAACAGUUCGGGUACACCCUCUCCUUCUUCAGCCACCUCCAGUUCGGCUUCCCGGCGACGCUCAUCGUCACAGGCAUCGGCCUGCUGCUCAUCAGGAGCAACUGA